Molecule: long non-coding RNA, 402 nt
Organism: Mauremys reevesii (Reeves's turtle)
Lineage: Eukaryota; Metazoa; Chordata; Testudines; Geoemydidae
Exons: 3
Source: RefSeq, a predicted model, not a curated record
CAGGACAGGUGCUCAAUAUAGCUGCACUCAAGAGGCCUUUCAAAUCCUCCACAGAGCCCAGUGUUCAGCAGUGGCACACUGUGCCUCUUUAAACUACAGCCGUCACGUUAGGCACUGGGAGGGAAGAAAAUAGCUCCAAGAUGCUUCUACAGUAUUCUUUGACAGUGUCUUUCUUCACCUGAAGAAGCAGGAGGUUACCAAAAAGAUAUCCUUUAACUUUUGGCAUGCGGUUAGUCCUGGUGGAAUGGGUCAGAUUGCCAGCUCUGAAGUCCAGAUUCUUCUGCUUGUCCCCAGAACAGGCAAUGGAAGUGCUCGAGCAUCUCCAUAUUGUCCUACCAAUGUGCUUCAGCUAUGACAAAGAGGUACGACCAUUGAAGGGGUUCAGGUAGUUCAAUCUUCACA